GCUUCUCCGCUCCGCAGUCGCGUCGCGGUUUUUCUCCUUCGCGGUGUUCCUUUCUUUAUGCACGCGAUCGCAUCGUUCGCUCUUUUAACGCGCAGUAAUGGAAUUUCUGUUUUCUACCGACUAGAUCGUAACUACCCACCUCCUCCGCUAGUUGUUUUUUCCCCCCUCGUCGUCGGAGUUUCGUUACUUCGGAAUGGACGUAGAUUAGCGUUCGGCCGAACAGAGAGAAACGUGGCGGCCGUUUAUCGUAAAUACGUAAAUCAAAUUUGGAAACACAAUAAACGGCAGGGAAAUGGCAUGCAAACGCAUGCGACGCUCUGACAGGACUUGAAAACACGAUCUCGGCAAAAUAAAUGGCACGAACAGGUCGUUUGUCUUCUUGCCAGACAUCAUUGCCUUCUGCGGCGGAUUUAAUUCGUUUUACAUGUAAAUUAUAUAUCGUCAACUGAUUUCUCUGUAAGAUAUUAUUAUUCCUAAACUGCAUGUUAAUUUGAUCUUAACAUCAUUGCAUUCUUCUCUUUUUUUCCGUCACUUGAAAUUCAAUGUAGAUUAAUCCAGACGUAUAAGAGUCCAUUGCAAAAUUGCAAGAGGCGUUUAACUGAGGAUUCUCUCGCUUGAUCCUGUAUUUCCGUUUAUACCUGAAGUACACUUUCGUGGUUGCAGAGCUGCACGUUAUUGGCAGCUGACCUAAAGACGAACUCAUUAACUGCAAUGAUCGCCUAGUUGAACUCCGCAUCCGCGCAGUCAGGAUGAUGAUCGGCACUUCUACCGUAAAUAACCAUCCUUUGCGUGUCGCCAAGGGACAGCCAAGAAAGGUGGAGGGACCGCGUGAAACAACGCGAAAGCGUAACCGUGCUAGCCGAGUGGAAAACGAACUCGAUGACUUCCCGGCCACGAAGGUGAAUUCGAUGUUUCACCGAAACUUCAAGGAUCACGGUUGGUUGAUGCAAGCGCUCUUUGAUGCAAGCGCUAAUGGAUCAUCAUAACGCAAGGCUACACGCGCAUCCAUCAUAUCAUGUAAAAAAUUUAUCCUAAAAAAUAAAUAAAAUGUUCUCUUUUUAUUUAUUGUUUUAUUUCAAUUAAUUUUCUUCUCUUGGCGAUCAGAUAAAUUCUUGACAAAUUUCAAGAUUGGUCAUUGUUAGUAGCGAUUCGGAGAACUCGUCGCGCGAAAGAUUGAUUCGCAAAGUUCUAUUAUGAGGCGCAGAAUCGUCAUGAAAUAUUCGAUAUGCAGAUUUAUGUAAUCAAAAGGAGGCGCCCGAAAGCAUCGAGCGUUCUGUAUCUCCUACGGGCUCCAGCAAUUCCCUCUCGUCUCGAUGAAUUUUCUGCUUCACAGCGGAGCCGACUUAAUGAGAAUAUAAUCUUAGUUGUGCGUGGUCUCACUCGUUCCGUACGGCCGAUGUUCCCGCCAUUUCACGUUCCACGUCUUCUUCAUCUCUUUCCUCCCGUACCCUCUGCACCGUAUCCGGUCCUUCCUUCCGGCAAUUACUCUCGUCUCGACGUCGCGCGGAAUUAUUAUCGUCCGUAACCGAUCGGACGAGAAGCUGGGGAGGAAAUGCUUGCCGUAUCUCCCUCGACUCGCUCUUCUACUUUUAUGAAUGCCCCAACAAUAAACAUCAUUAAUGCGCGCUCCCUGUUAACGCGUGAUUUAUUCCGAGUCUGAUUUAUCCCGGAUUGUUCAGAAUUGAAGCUAAUAAAUUCAAGAUCGCAUUGGAAAUAUUCGCUCGGAAUGCAUGAGAGAUUAAUGAAAAUCUCAAACUAUUUCAAACUAAUUCAUCUUUAAUCUAUAACAAUUUAUCUAUUAUAUAUUAUAUUAUUUUAUAUCAUUUUUUUAUUCGAUACAAAAUCGAUAAAUGGGGAGAGUAAAUCCAAAACUUUAUCUUUGUGUGAUAUGUAUAUAUCAUAAGUUUUUAAUUCAUCAAUCAUUUUGCAGUAGACAUAAACCUUCUUGUUAGAAACGAACGCGUCUCGUAAAAUGUUCGUUUCGGCAUCAGUCAAAAUUCAGAGGCACCGCCAAUUGACAUGCGAUUCGAGAGAGUUGCCGAUUAAACUGUGCAUCACCGGCGGCACAAUGGCCCAGCACCGACCGCACAGGAAGGCUUCUAUCACCGCUGAUUUAGCUUCAUUAGGAUUUUUAUUAAUAAUUUCGCUAAUUGCAGGGUUUGCCGAAUUAAUUGGGCGCGUCUCGCGCGUCCAAUUGCGUCUAUAAGGACCGAGGGCACCACGAGAAAUAAGAAUGCGAUUGCAUGGAACGGAGAAUAAAUACAGGAUGCAGCAAAUAAUAAUAAAGGUGCAUGUAUGCACGAUAAAUAAAGAAAACAGAAGAGACGGGUACUGGAAACUGAUAUCGCAGAAAAUUCAUAAUGUUAGGUUAACAUAAUUAAAUGUUAAAAUAAUAUGUUAAAAUAUAUCAAGGCACAAGCUAUUUCAUUGUUUUCUGGAAUUAAAAUUUGAAAAAGGGACAAGAAAAGGUAAGCGGAUUAAAUGAAUAAAACAUUGAUUUUGUCAUAUUG
This 2510-nucleotide long non-coding RNA is filed under the name Ooceraea biroi (clonal raider ant). RNAcentral's name for it is "uncharacterized LOC109610823". The record is from RNAcentral. Lineage: Eukaryota; Metazoa; Arthropoda; Insecta; Hymenoptera; Formicidae.